Molecule: ribosomal RNA, 433 nt
Filed under: uncultured bacterium
Lineage: Bacteria
Description: partial 16S ribosomal RNA
Rfam family: Bacterial small subunit ribosomal RNA
Source: RNAcentral
AACGAACGCUGGCGGCAUGCCUAACACAUGCAAGUCGAACGAGACCUUCGGGUCUAGUGGCGCACGUGUGCGUAACGCGUGGGAACCUGCCCUUAGGUUCGGAAUACCUCCCCGAAAGGGGUGUUAAUACCGGAUAAUGUCUUCGGACCAAAGAUUUAUGGCCUUGGGAUGGGCCCGCGUUGGAUUAGCGAGUUGGUAGGGUAAAAGCCUAACAAGGCGACGAUCCAUAGCUGGUCUGAGAGGAUGAUCAUCCACACUGGGACUGAGACACGGCCCAGACUCCUACGGGAGGGAGCAGAGGGGAAUAUUGGGCAAUGGGCGAAAGCGUGAUACAGCAAUGCGGCGUGAGUGAUGAAGGCCUUAGGAUUGUAAAGCUGUUUUAGCCGGGAUGAUAAUGACAGUACCGGGAGAAUAAGCUCCGGCUAACUCCGUG